Molecule: ribosomal RNA, 382 nt
Filed under: uncultured bacterium
Lineage: Bacteria
Description: bacterial SSU rRNA
Rfam family: Bacterial small subunit ribosomal RNA
Source: RNAcentral
AUUGAACGCUGGCGGCAUGCCUAACACAUGCAAGUCGAACGGCAGCACAGUGCGUAGCAAUACGUAUGGGUGGCGAGUGGCGGACGGGUGAGGAAUGCAUCGGAAUCUACCCAGUAGCGGGGGAUAACCUGGGGAAACUCAGGCUAAUACCGCAUACGACCUAUGGGUGAAAGCGGGGGACCGUAAGGCCUCGCACUAUUGGAUGAGCCGAUGCCGGAUAGCUAGUUGGUAGGUAACGGCCUACCAAGGCGACGAUCCGUAGCUGGUCUGAGAGGACGAUCAGCCACACCGGAACUGAGACACGGUCCGGACUCCUACGGGAGGCAGCAGUGGGGAAUAUUGGACAAUGGGGGAAACCCUGAUCCAGCAAUGCCGCGUGUGU